Molecule: transfer-messenger RNA, 402 nt
Filed under: Candidatus Melainabacteria bacterium
Lineage: Bacteria; Bacillati; Candidatus Melainabacteria
Rfam family: transfer-messenger RNA
About the family: Bacterial tmRNA, also known as 10Sa RNA or SsrA, is named for its dual tRNA and mRNA-like properties. Its role is to liberate the mRNA from a stalled ribosome.
Source: RNAcentral
GGGGGCGUAUAGCUUUGACAGGGGUCAGAGAAAGUAAAUCGCGAGUCCAGGUAGCCUAGGUCCUGGUAAAACCAAGGUAAACAAUAAGUGCAGAAAACACUGAGUUCACUGCAGUUGAGGUUGCUACUACUAGCAAGCUCAUGGCUGCAUAGUCCCGACAAACUGCGGACAAACUACUUGUUAAUUAGGGGCUAACCCACUAGCUAGCAAGUCACAAACACGGUUAGUGCGAGAAACAAACUUUGAUAGGUUUAGUUUGUGGAUCUAAGAACAUAAGCCUAGAACCCGUUGAGUGUCUAUUCUCAUGUGAACGGUAACAUCACAGAUCAAUAGACUACACUCGUAGUGCUUUAUUUUUGAAAGCCUUUGGACGCGGGGGGCAGUUCCCCGCCGCCUCCACCA